Molecule: ribosomal RNA, 789 nt
Filed under: uncultured bacterium
Lineage: Bacteria
Description: bacterial SSU rRNA
Rfam family: Bacterial small subunit ribosomal RNA
Source: RNAcentral
CCCCGGGCUCANCCUGGGAACUGCGUUCUGAACUGGGUGACUAGAGUGUGUCAGAGGGAGGUAGAAUUCCACGUGUAGCAGUGAAAUGCGUAGAGAUGUGGAGGANUACCGAUGGCGAAGGCAGCCUCCUGGGAUAACACUGACGUUCAUGCCCGAAAGCGUGGGUAGCAAACAGGAUUAGAUACCCUGGUAGUCCACGCCCUAAACGAUGUCGAUUAGCUGUUGGGCAGCAUGACUGCUUAGUAGCGAAGCUAACGCGUGAAAUCGACCGCCUGGGGAGUACGGUCGCAAGAUUAAAACUCAAAGGAAUUGACGGGGACCCGCACAAGCGGUGGAUGAUGUGGAUUAAUUCGAUGCAACGCGAAGAACCUUACCUGGUCUUGACAUGUACGGAAUCCUCCAGAGACGGAGGAGUGCCUUCGGGAGCCGUAACACAGGUGCUGCAUGGCUGUCGUCAGCUCGUGUCGUGAGAUGUCGGGUUAAGUCCCGCAACGAGCGCAACCCUUGUCAUUAGUUGCCAUCAUUAAGUUGGGCACUCUAAUGAGACUGCCGGUGACAAGCCGGAGGAAGGUGGGGAUGACGUCAAGUCCUCAUGGCCCUUAUGACCAGGGCUUCACACGUCAUACAAUGGUCGGUACAGAGGGUAGCCAAGCCGCGAGGCGGAGCCAAUCUCACAAAACCGAUCGUAGUCCGGAUUGCACUCUGCAACUCGAGUGCAUGAAGUCGGAAUCGCUAGUAAUCGCAGGUCAGCAUACUGCGGUGAAUACGUUCCCGGGUCUUGUACACACC